RNAcentral lists this long non-coding RNA (759 nucleotides) under Capsella rubella. RNAcentral describes it as "long non-coding RNA (CRUB_LNC001930)". The record is from RNAcentral. Lineage: Eukaryota; Viridiplantae; Streptophyta; Magnoliopsida; Brassicales; Brassicaceae.
UAGGAUGGAAGAACAAAACCUUGUAUUAAAAUAGAGAGUACGAUUUAAUUAAACGCGGAGCUAAUAAUGUUCUAGAAGUGAAUAGCACGAUAAGGUUUUGUAAGACGACCAAAGCGACGUAUCCCUUUGAAAAAGAUCACAUGGUUACUUUCUACUACUUACAACAAUACGUAAUCAGUAAUCAAUCACGCAAACAAAUUUCACAAACCUCAAAAUCGUAUUUAACCCUUAGGCUUCUGCUCGUUGAUCACGCAGUGGUUUAUAGUAUUUGGAGGCAGAGAAACAACCUCAUUCACAACCAAACUGUUGUUCCGCCCCGCUCACUGUCUUGAAGGAUAUUGACCGCCAGAUCAUCAACUAUAUCACUGCCAGCAGGAAUCUGAAAAAUUUCAGAAACUUAAUGGGCCUUGGGGCUUUGCUAAAGGGUCUCUUGUUGCUGGAACCAAUCUCUAGAGAAUCUAUAUCUCAAUUGAUCCUUGUUUUUUCACUUUCUUUUGCCAAGGUUCAAUUUCAAUAGGUCCUCCAAAUCUUGUAACACCUAAACUUUUCAUCUAAUGAUAUUUACUUGCUUAAAAAAAAAAAAAAAAAAAAGUCGAACUAAUGAAUAAAGUUUCUGUGUAGCCCAGUGGGCUCAUUAGAUUCGUAUUUAACAAAAAAAAAAGAAAAGAAAAAGAAAAAAAAGAGUCGAACUAAUGAAUAAAGUUUCUGUGUAGCCCAGUGGGCUCAUUAUAAUGCUAUUAGAUUUUGCAUGGCCUGGUG